This 998-nucleotide long non-coding RNA is filed under the name Salmo salar (Atlantic salmon). RNAcentral describes it as "lncRNA (ENSSSAG00000119307.1)". The record is from RNAcentral. Lineage: Eukaryota; Metazoa; Chordata; Actinopteri; Salmoniformes; Salmonidae.
UUUUGACUUCUCAACUACUUGUUUGAUUAUAGUGUGGAUCAUAGAGCUGGAUCCACGGCUAAUCUUUGUCAUAAUACCCAUAAAACCUAGCGGUCAAACGGGAAAUGGUUCCAAUCGUUUUUCCACCAUACAUUUUUCCCAUAGGGGAUUUUAGAAACACUUAAAAUAAGGGCUUCGAUAACUGUGUAAAUCUAUCCAGGUAGGACAAUGUGAAUUUUCUCAAUAUAUUCAAAUGAGAAAUUAUUUGUUUUGUGGGCGCUCCUCGUUACUUAUCAAAUUUGUAUGAAACCAAGAGAGAGAAACUCAUCGCUGUAUUUGCGUUUCAUGACGAUUGAGCUCAUCCAAAACUUGUGGCUAGCUUGAGUCCAUUUGAUGACAGUGGUGAGUGAUGGUGAGUGGGAAUGACAAGUCAAUGGCUGACAGCGCAUCAUCUGCUGCUGAACGACAGUGCUGCAGCGUGUGGGUCGUGGAGAGAUCUUCAAGUAAACUGAGAAAAAAAUAUCUGGUAAACUGUGAAGGACACGGGGAUCUCACACUUGCGCAACUGCCAAACUGAGCAGAGUACACUGCUAAGCAGAGAGUGCACUUAACAUUGAGCGCAGUUGGCCAAAUCAAUUCCAGUAAUCAAUUAUAUAAUUAUACAUUUACUCUGACACGUUGCGACCCAGCAUUAACAAGUGGGUCGCGAUCCAUACUUUAAGAAAGGAUGAUCUAGAGGAUGAUCUAAAUCGAGGCAAAGGACCGUAUUUUUAAACAAGUCAAAGGAUGUGCCAUGUGAGCUUGCUGCAGCCCUUCCUAUGCUGGUUUGUACUUGGAGAGCGAGAGAGAGCAUAGCCUUGCUAUUGAGAUGCUGCUGAAGGCAGACCUGGCUCUCAAGAGAAGACAGGCUAUGUGCACACUGCCCACAAAAGGAGGUGCAAAGUGAGCUGCACGUCCUAACCUGCCAGAUGUAUGCCCAUAUUAGAGACACAUUUUUCCCUCAGAUUACACAAACCCAC